Molecule: ribosomal RNA, 253 nt
Filed under: uncultured bacterium
Lineage: Bacteria
Description: partial 16S ribosomal RNA
Rfam family: Bacterial small subunit ribosomal RNA
Source: RNAcentral
UACGGAGGAUCCAAGCGUUAUCCGGAAUCAUUGGGCUUAAAGGGUCCGUAGGCGGUUUGGUAAGUCAGUGGUGAAAGCCCAUCGCUCAACGGUGGAACUGCCAUUGAUACUGCCAGACUUGAAUUAUUAGGAAGUAACUAGAAUAUGUAGUGUAGCGGUGAAAUGCUUAGAGAUUACAUGGAAUACCAAUUGCGAAGGCAGGUUACUACUAAUGGAUUGACGCUGAUGGACGAAAGCGUGGGUAGCGAACAGG